RNAcentral lists this ribosomal RNA (496 nucleotides) under uncultured bacterium. Its description in RNAcentral is "partial 16S ribosomal RNA". It matches the Rfam family "Bacterial small subunit ribosomal RNA", at positions 28 to 506 of the family's 1533-position model. The record is from RNAcentral.
GAUGAACGCUGGCGGCGUGCCUAAUACAUGCAAGUCGAGCGAACAGACGAGGAGCUUGCUCCUCUGACGUUAGCGGCGGACGGGUGAGUAACACGUGGAUAACCUACCUAUAAGACUGGGAUAACUUCGGGAAACCGGAGCUAAUACCGGAUAAUAUAUUGAACCGCAUGGUUCAAUAGUGAAAGACGGUUUUGCUGUCACUUUUAGAUGGAUCCGCGCCGCAUUAGCUAGUUGGUAAGGUAACGGCUUACCAAGGCAACGAUGCGUAGCCGACCUGAGAGGGUGAUCGGCCACACUGGAACUGAGACACGGUCCAGACUCCUACGGGAGGCAGCAGUAGGGAAUCUUCCGCAAUGGGCGAAAGCCUGACGGAGCAACGCCGCGUGAGUGAUGAAGGUCUUCGGAUCGUAAAACUCUGUUAUUAGGGAAGAACAAAUGUGUAAGUAACUAUGCACGUCUUGACGGUACCUAAUCAGAAAGCCACGGCUAACUACGU